RNAcentral lists this ribosomal RNA (425 nucleotides) under uncultured bacterium. Its description in RNAcentral is "bacterial SSU rRNA". It matches the Rfam family "Bacterial small subunit ribosomal RNA", at positions 355 to 773 of the family's 1533-position model. The record is from RNAcentral.
UGGGGAAUUGUUCGCAAUGGGCGCAAGCCUGACGACGCAACGCCGCAUGGAGGAUGAAGGUCUUCGGAUUGUAAACUCCUGUUGCCCGGGACGAAACGUUCCGACCUAACACGUCGGAGCUUGACGGUACCGGGUGAGGAAGCCCCGGCUAACUCUGUGCCAGCAGCCGCGGUAAUACAGAGGGGGCAAGCGUUGUUCGGAAUUACUGGGCGUAAAGGGCGCGUAGGCGGCCUUCUAAGUCGAACGUGAAAUCCCCGGGCUCAACCCGGGAACUGCGUCCGAUACUGGAAGGCUUGAAUCCGGGAGAGGGAUGCGGAAUUCCAGGUGUAGCGGUGAAAUGCGUAGAUAUCUGGAGGAACACCGGUGGCGAAGGCGGCAUCCUGGACCGGUAUUGACGCUGAGGCGCGAAAGCCAGGGGAGCAAAC